GACGAACGCUGGCGGCGUGCCUAAUACAUGCAAGUAGAACGCUGAAGGAGGAGCUUGCUUCUCUGGAUGAGUUGCGAACGGGUGAGUAACGCGUAGGUAACCUGCCUGGUAGCGGGGGAUAACUAUUGGAAACGAUAGCUAAUACCGCAUAAGAGUAGAUGUCGCAUGACAUUUGCUUAAAAGGUGCAAUUGCAUCACUACCAGAUGGACCUGCGUUGUAUUAGCUAGUUGGUGAGGUAACGGCUCACCAAGGCAACGAUACAUAGCCGACCUGAGAGGGUGAUCGGCCACACUGGGACUGAGACACGGCCCAGACUCCUACGGGAGGCAGCAGUAGGGAAUCUUCGGCAAUGGACGGAAGUCUGACCGAGCAACGCCGCGGGAGUGAAGAAGGUUUUCGGAUCGUAAAGCUCUGUUGUAAGAGAAGAACGAGUGUGAGAGUGGAAAGUUCACACUGUGACGGUAGCUUACCAGAAAGGGACGGCUAACUACGUG
RNAcentral lists this ribosomal RNA (495 nucleotides) under uncultured bacterium. Its description in RNAcentral is "partial 16S ribosomal RNA". It matches the Rfam family "Bacterial small subunit ribosomal RNA", at positions 28 to 507 of the family's 1533-position model. The record is from RNAcentral.